UACGAAGGGUGCAAACGUUGCUCGGAAUCAUUGGGCGUAAAGCGCACGUAGGCGGCUUUGCAAGUCGGAUGUGAAAUCCCGUGGCUCAACCAUGGACGUGCAUUCGAAACUGCGAAGCUUGAGUAUGGAAGAGGGUCGCGGAAUUCCCGGUGUAGAGGUGAAAUGCGUAGAUAUCUGGAGGAACACCGGUGGCGAAGGCGGCAUCCUGGACCAACACUGACGCUGAGGAGCGAAAGCCAGGGGAGCAAACGGG
This 253-nucleotide ribosomal RNA is filed under the name uncultured bacterium. RNAcentral describes it as "partial 16S ribosomal RNA". It matches the Rfam family "Bacterial small subunit ribosomal RNA", at positions 524 to 776 of the family's 1533-position model. The record is from RNAcentral.